AAAUUAAACAACAACACAUGUCCAAAUAUAUCCAAAGAGCCCAGCAAAUCAAACAAGAUCCCAGGAGGCUUUUACACCAUACAACAUUAAUAAUCCUACUUGAAAUAAACAGAAUAACAACUAGACCAGGUCAUUUUCCUGUGAUCUCUGAUAGAAAGCUGAAAUUAAGAGUGUUUUUGCACAAUAAAUUCAAUGGAACAGCAAAUUUAGGACUGCUGGAGGUUUUCAGGAGUCAAUUUGAGAGAUUUUGAGCUUCAAAGUUCUGAGAAAUUAUAGAGAUACUUUCAGAUUAUUCAAAUCCCCCCACCCCCACCCCCCUGCCUCCUUGAGUGAUUUAGAGACCCUUUUUUAUAGCCAAAGGGUAGGGCACCACUAUUAUUUAAUUUUAACUAGAGGUCAUUCUUCCAAAUUUCAUAUUUUACCUCUUUGGACCCUCAUUUUUUGACUUGUUUCCCAAGUUACUGCAACAAUACUGCUGAUUUUAUAUUAAAGACCGCUUCUAGAAGGGUUUAAAGGCUUCUAGCAUUGUCUUCCAUUUAUGAACUACCCAUACUACCCUUAUUUUGUUCCUAAAAUUGCCAAAGCCAAGUUAAAACUCUAAAUUAACCCUACUUGAUUCUGAAAAUUACCAAUAGUAAACUAAAAUUCUAUAUUACCCCUAUUUAUCCUAAAAUUAUCAGAAUUAAGAAAAAAACCUUGAAAUUACUGAUUUGGUAUCAAUGCUAACUAAUUCUUCUAGUCUUAACAGCAAUAACCAAUUCAAAUGUUAUUAAUCAAGAACAAAUGUCAAUCAAUUCUCAGAAAUCAAAUCAAAAAUCAAGUUCAAUACUCAAUUAGAAGAAGAAUACGAAGAAGAAUACGGAAGGUUAUCACUCCAAAACUCAACUCAGAAAUCAAAACCUCAAAACAUAUGAGCCAUUGGUCGACACUUAAACUUAAAAAUCAAGAGAUUACUGACAUUAACGAACAAACAUGGGAAUUGUCAUUCUAAAAAAAUCAAACAAUCAAGACCAUUUCCUAAUUGCAUGUGAACUCAAAACAAUAUUCAGAUUCAGAGGUCAAGAAUAUUACGAAAUUGCAGGAAUCAUGGAAACUUUUGAGAGCAACCAAAACCUAGUGUCUAAUUUCACAAAUGAAACCAACAAAUCAUUCACGCAAUCGGAAUAGAAGUAGCAGAAUCGAAAUCUAAUAAGAUGCCAUUUAAAUUUUAAACUAACUGAAAAAGAAAUAAAUUCUAACCUAAUUGCUAAACCAGGCAGAAAAAUAAAAAACAAAAAAAAAGCAAACUGAGAGAGGUGGACUUACUUAUUUCUUCAAUUAAUCUUUGUUGAAAUCAAUUCGAACCUCUAAAUGGCACUCAAACGAUCUUUAAAAUGAACUUAAUCUUGGGUCAUGGCUAAUUUUGAAAUUAGAGGGUCCUGGGGUUAUUUGAGAGGGCUUGGUUGUGUUUUGGGUGGAGGAGGGCUAGAGGGGGUGGGUGGUGGUGGUUUGGGAAUCAUUGGUCACCGGGCACCGCCGUGCAUGGCGGGGCUGCCCACUUCUAACAAAUAUUCGAAGGGCUGGGGUUAUAUUCGAGGGUGGCCGAUGGUAGGGUUGGAAAGAGGAGAGUGAGGGGGUCCCAAGGUGUUAAUUUGGGAGUUAUUGGUCAUCGGCCGCCACCGUGGAUGGCGUAGCUGCCGUGCUUUGAACAAAUAUUCGACGGGCUGGGAAGGGUUUCGAAAGGUGAUCUUAGGGGGGUUGGGAAAAGGAGACAAUGGGGAUUAUAGGGUGUGAAUUUGGAGGUUAUUAGAGUUACGCUGUCGCCGACGGUGAUUUUCGGCUGGCGGCGGACGGUGGUGGUAUGGUGGUUUGACGGCGGCGUUACAUCGGUUGAAGAUGGUACGAGGAAAAUGGAUUUUGGUCUUUGAGGUGUUACUUUGGUUUGGAUAGUUUUAUCUAAAGUAUGAGGCUCAAUUUGAGCCGUUGGAUAGAGGAUAUGGAUGGCCAGGAUGAACGGAUGCUAAAACGGCGUCGUUUUGAUGAGGGGUGGGAUUGGACCGGGUCUGGGACGUGGGUUUGGGUAAGGUCUUGGGGUUUUGGGCUAGUUUAAUUUGCAAAAAUGGCCCCAGUUUUGCCUUUUUAAAACAAGACCACAUUUCCAACUCCUUUUUCUUUGUUUUAUUUCAUACAUUAAAUUAUUUUAUUAACACCAAAUUAACAAAAACCUGAUUUAAAUCCAAAAUGGGCUAAUUAACCAAAAUCCUAUAUUUUUUUGUACUUUUUGUGAAUUAAAAUGCACUCAACAUGCGAACAAACACACAAUUUAUGCAAUUAAAUUUACUUGGAAUUUGUGCACCAAAGUAGAGUUGAGAGUCAGCAGUACUCAAUAACAGUGUAUUCAACAGGAAUGCACAACUUAGAAGUAGUUAAUAACCCCAGAAGCACCACUCAACAACAGGGAAGGCCUUAAACCCCAAAAAUUAAACAGCAACACAUGUCCAAAUAUAUCCAAAGAGCCCAGCAAAUCAAACAAGAUCCCAGGAGGCUUUUACACCAUACAACAUUAAUAAUCCUACUUGAAAUAAACAGAAUAACAACUAGACCAGGUCAUUUUCCUGUGAUCUCUGAUAGAAAGCUGAAUUUAAGAGUGUUUUUGCACAAUAAUUUCAAUGGAACAGUAAAUUUAGGACUGCUGGAGGUUUUCAGGAGUCAUUUUGAGAGAUUUUGAGCUUCAAAAUUCUAAGAAAUUAUAGAGAUACUUUCAGAUUGUUCAAACCCCC
RNAcentral lists this long non-coding RNA (2759 nucleotides) under Nicotiana benthamiana. RNAcentral describes it as "long non-coding RNA (NBEN_LNC028717)". Lineage: Eukaryota; Viridiplantae; Streptophyta; Magnoliopsida; Solanales; Solanaceae. The record is from RNAcentral.